CCGAUGAAGGACGUGGGAGGCCACGAUAGUCCCCGGGGAGUCGUCAACCAGGCUUUGAUCCGGGGGUUUCCGAAUGGGGAAACCCGGCAGUCGUCAUGGGCUGUCACCCGCUGCUGAACACAUAGGCAGUGUGGAGGGAACGAGGGGAAGUGAAACAUCUCAGUACCCUCAGGAAGAGAAAACAACCGUGAUUCCGGGAGUAGUGGCGAGCGAAACCGGAUGAGGCCAAACCGUAUGUGUGUGAUACCCGGCAGGGGUUGCGCAUGCGGGGUUGUGGGAUCUCUCUUUCACAGUCUGCCGGCUGUGAGACAAGUAAGAAACCAUGGUUAUAGGCGAAGGGCAUGCGAAAGGCCCGGCGUAGAGGGUAAGACCCCCGUAGCUGAAAUGAUCAUGGCUUGUUUGAGAGACACCCAAGCCGCCGGAGGCCGCUGU
Molecule: non-coding RNA, 432 nt
Rfam family: Bacterial large subunit ribosomal RNA